RNAcentral lists this ribosomal RNA (465 nucleotides) under uncultured bacterium. RNAcentral describes it as "partial 16S ribosomal RNA". It matches the Rfam family "Bacterial small subunit ribosomal RNA", at positions 28 to 507 of the family's 1533-position model. The record is from RNAcentral.
GACGAACGCUGGCGGCGUGCUUAACACAUGCAAGUCGUACGGUAAGGCCCUUUCGGGGGUACACGAGUGGCGAACGGGUGAGUAGCACGUGAGUAACCUGCCCACAGCUUUGGGAUAACGCUAGGAAACUGGUGCUAAUACUGGAUAUGUGCUCCUGCUGCAUGGUGGGGGUUGGAAAGCUCCGGCGGUUGUGGAUGGACUCGCGGCCUAUCAGCUUGUUGGUGGGGUAGUGGCCUACCAAGGCGGCGACGGGUAGCCGGCCUGAGAGGGUGACCGGCCACAUUGGGACUGAGAUACGGCCCAGACUCCUACGGGAGGCAGCAGUGGGGAAUAUUGCACAAUGGGCGCAAGCCUGAUGCAGCAACGCCGCGUGCGGGAUGACGGCCUUCGGGUUGUAAACCGCUUUCAGCAGGGACGAAGCUUUUUGUGACGGUACCUGCAGAAGAAGCACCGGCUAACUACGUG